Long non-coding RNA from Bufo bufo (common toad), 176 nucleotides. RefSeq lists it as uncharacterized. The record is from RefSeq and is a predicted model, not a curated record. The transcript is spliced from 3 exons. Lineage: Eukaryota; Metazoa; Chordata; Amphibia; Anura; Bufonidae.
UGCAGCCGCAGAAGAGCACACACCAACAUAGGCAGAUAUGCAACAUUUCCCCCCGUUGAAAUUCCACCCUCCAUAUGUUGGACCGACUAUAUGAACAGAGAAAGGCCAUAAACAAUAUUUUAAAGAUCCAAGCGGACAGGAGUACUCCUCUGUGUAACUUCGAUGUCAGCCAGUGG